Long non-coding RNA from Zingiber officinale, 848 nucleotides. RefSeq lists it as uncharacterized. Lineage: Eukaryota; Viridiplantae; Streptophyta; Magnoliopsida; Zingiberales; Zingiberaceae. The record is from RefSeq and is a predicted model, not a curated record. The transcript has 3 exons.
AAUGUUUUAUUUAUAAAACAUUUUCAUUUUCUUUUUAUUUCUCCCAAACGCCGAACCCGACCCUCCUCUUCACUGCGAUUUCCUCUUCUUCCCCGACUCCCUCUCUCGGUUCCUCCUUGAGCCGAAUCCUCUCUUCUUCCUCUCGCCCGAUCUCUCUCGAUUUCUCUCGCCUUCGCCGCCGAUCCUGAGGAGCUCGUCGCCGGAUCUUGACGGUGCCGAGGAAGACCAGGCUGCCUUCGGCCGAGGGGUCUCUGCUCCGGUGGUUCUUGCGGCCGAACGACGACCCUUGGUGGCUAGGGCACGGUGAGGAACAAGGUUCGUGUCAUCUCCCAACCUACCGACUCCCUCGUCCAUCUUCCUCUAGUUAUUCAUGGAGCGAUCUGCGUCUUCUCUAGCCGAAUCAGACAGUGAUGCCAUCGGGAGGUGAUCUAGAGAGAUUGGUCCUCCUCUUCUUGCGGCUGAGUGGGGAAUUCAGUUGAAGAGGUUGAGACCAGUGAGUGGUGCUUGGGCUGUAGGGCAGAGACUUCAGGUGUUGAUGCUUGAUCAGUAGUCUUCCUGCUUGAUUCCACUGUGAUCCGAUUGAUUUCCAGUGAGGUUGAGUGUCCUGUGGAUCUGGAAUUGUGGUUCCGGCAGCACCUCAACCAGUAGCUCCUUUGGUUUCAACAAUCAACAGCGGUUGCUAAUUGAGGAUCUUUUCUGGUCCAGCAGAUCACUUUGUUUUCCAACAGCUCAAUUGAGUGAGGUUCUGUUGCUGUGAUGCUGGAGUUGUGAUCUUUGAGGUGUAUCCAGCAGCUUUCCCUAACCGGCAGCAACACCUUUGAUUGUGAUCUAUUGGUGAUCACCUUGGA